Molecule: small nuclear RNA, 164 nt
Filed under: Peromyscus maniculatus bairdii (prairie deer mouse)
Lineage: Eukaryota; Metazoa; Chordata; Mammalia; Rodentia; Cricetidae
Description: U1 spliceosomal RNA (ENSPEMG00000001189.2)
Rfam family: U1 spliceosomal RNA
About the family: U1 is a small nuclear RNA (snRNA) component of the spliceosome (involved in pre-mRNA splicing).
Source: Rfam by way of RNAcentral
CAACUUACCCGGCAGGGGAGCUACCAUGGUCACUAAGGUGGUUUUCACAGGGAAAGGUUCAUCCAUUGCACUCCGGAUGCACUGGCCCCUGUGAUUUCCCCAAGCACGGGAAAUGUGACUGCAUCAUUUGUGGUAGUGGGGAGGCUGCGUUUGUGCCCUCCCCU